Molecule: non-coding RNA, 215 nt
Organism: Lonchura striata (white-rumped munia)
Lineage: Eukaryota; Metazoa; Chordata; Aves; Passeriformes; Estrildidae
Source: RefSeq, a predicted model, not a curated record
GGGGCACAAUCACAGGAUGAAGCUCUCCCUCUUUUGCCUGGUUUCCCCAGCAGCACUCCGAGGGAGAGGAGGAGAUGAGGAGGGAGGCUGGCUCUGACCCUCACGGCUCCUAACAGCGCUCCCGAGCACAGGCCAGCUCCCCUGCGCUCUGCAGCCAGCACCGAGCACAUCCCAGCCUCGGCACCUGCUGAAACCCUCAGAAAACAACCUGUGAC